CGUGUAGGCGGCCAAGUAAGUCGGAUGUGAAAGCCCGGGGCCCAACCCCGGAAUUGCACCCGAUACUGCAUGGCUGGAGUCCCGGAGAGGAUGGCGGAAUUUCCGGUGUAGAGGUGAAAUUCGUAGAUAUCGGAAGGAACACCAGUGGCGAAGGCGGCCAUCUGGACGGUGACUGACGCUGAGACGCGAAAGCGUGGGGAGCAAACA
This 207-nucleotide ribosomal RNA is filed under the name uncultured bacterium. RNAcentral's name for it is "partial 16S ribosomal RNA". It matches the Rfam family "Bacterial small subunit ribosomal RNA", at positions 568 to 774 of the family's 1533-position model. The record is from RNAcentral.